Anguilla rostrata (American eel) is the source of this 1643-nucleotide long non-coding RNA. RefSeq lists it as uncharacterized. Lineage: Eukaryota; Metazoa; Chordata; Actinopteri; Anguilliformes; Anguillidae. The transcript has 4 exons. The record is from RefSeq and is a predicted model, not a curated record.
UAUGAUUAACAAGAGCUAGUUCCUGCUGUUAUACUUGCUAUUAGAUAUGUGUGUAGAUUUGAUCUUGUCAAUAUCUUGCGUAUUUUUUGUAUUCUUAAUUUGAUUUAACUUGGCUGUAACCAAAUUGCCCCAUGAUAACAAUAGAAAAAUCUUGAUUGGUUGAUUGGUCUGGUGAAAAACAACACGUGCAAAAGUUUGUUUGCUAUCUGUUGGAAGAACAUAGGCUACAUGGCUGCCUUGACUGAAGCGCGAUCAAGUUCUAGGUUUGUGUGUUUUUUUUUUAACGCAACUAGUUGUUUUGUUUACUUCAACUCUUAUAGCCCUGUAUGCUGUGCGAAUCCAAGCUAUUAGAAACCCAAAUACAAUGAGUAAUCUGUUUACGCUUCUAAGAAGAAUUAUGUACUGCAACAGCGGCAGGGGAUUCCUGAAAGUCAUUAUUGCCGGAAGGAGGGAGAAUUCCACGUCCUCCAAACGGAGCUGGAGAAGAAUUCCUGUUGUGAGGACCUUUGACCUCAAAAUGGCUGCCACCGGCACAGACAGAACAAUGGAACGUCCCCAGGAACGUCCACCACUGGGUGCACCUGAUGAACGCACAAAGCUCACCUGUAUCCUUUUUCAUCGUGGUUUCUGGAAAAGGACUGGGAUCGUGCCCUUGCCGACAUAACGAACACAUGGAGGAAAAUGAUUUUAAAAAGCUGCAUAAUCACUUUGAGAGCUACCCAGUACCCUACCUUUAAGAUGUCUGACGUGACACAACUGAGAACAGUGAGCAAUGUGGAGAAAGGAUAACUACUUUGCUUCAAAGAAGAAAAAAAACAGAUUGCUUGUACAUUAUUUAAUCAAUCAAGACUCGUUUUCGUCUUAAGAUAAAAAGAAGAUUUGACGAAGAGCUGAAAACUCUAAGGAAUGGCCUCCGCAUCAAGGAAAAGGAGACGCCGCAGUAAUGGAAAAACUCAUUACUGCCACGUGCCUUUAGUGAUUUCUGCUCAUGCUUCCAGUGCUAGAUUGAAAUACUCUCUCAUGGAGAAAUUUAUUUUACAAUAUUAUACAAAAAUGAAUAUAUUUUCAUUAUCUAAAUAUAGGAGUAUUUGGAAAUAUACGAUGUUGUAUUACAAAUACAUGCAUAUAUUGCAAUGUAUAUUUUUGACAGUAUAUGAAGGUGUGAAUACAUACAUAUUUUAAACAUUAUUUCGUCAUUUAAUAGAAUGUAUGUUGUCCUGUGUUUUGUACCUUUUAAAUAUGUUAAAAUGCUCUUAUAUUUUUGUUAACACGUGUAUAUUCCAUGGGUCCCUUGAAAAAGAUAUCUUUAUCUCAAUGGGACUCAUCUUAAUAAAGGCUAUAUAAUAAUAUUGUAUUGUGAGUAAUAAUAAGAAUAAUAAUGAUAACAUAUAUAUGUAUAAAGGAGGUUUCUAACAAACCGUUGUAGUUUCUUCUGCUGUGUUCCUGUAUAACUGCACAAAUAAAUAGCAUCCAGCAAUGACACCAUCUGAUGUUUUUUAGAUCAAGAUGAAUGUCUUUGAGCCGAUAGUGUGACAUGGAUGAUUUUUUUGGUUUCUUGAAUGCGUUGGGGUGCACGGGACCUAAAAUAAUGACGCCUGCUUCCAGGCGUCCCAGGGGAGACGACGAGCAUGUGAUUUCAAAAG